This 485-nucleotide ribosomal RNA is filed under the name uncultured bacterium. RNAcentral's name for it is "partial 16S ribosomal RNA". It matches the Rfam family "Bacterial small subunit ribosomal RNA", at positions 30 to 507 of the family's 1533-position model. The record is from RNAcentral.
UUGCACGCUGGCGGCAUGCCUUACACAUGCAAGUCGAACGGCAGCACGGGUGCUUGCACCUGGUGGCGAGUGGCGAACGGGUGAGUAAUACAUCGGAACAUGUCCUGUAGUGGGGGAUAGCCCGGCGAAAGCCGGAUUAAUACCGCAUACGAUCUACGGAUGAAAGCGGGGGACCUUCGGGCCUCGCGCUAUAGGGUUGGCCGAUAGCUGAUUAGCUAGUUGGUGGGGUAAAGGCCUACCAAGGCGACGAUCAGUAGCUGGUCUGAGAGGACGACCAGCCACACUGGGACUGAGACACGGCCCAGACUCCUACGGGAGGCAGCAGUGGGGAAUUUUGGACAAUGGGCGAAAGCCUGAUCCAGCAAUGCCGCGUGUGUGAAGAAGGCCUUCGGGUUGUAAAGCACUUUUGUCCGGAAAGAAAUCCUUGGCUCUAAUACAGUCGGGGGAUGACGGUACCGGAAGAAUAAGCACCGGCUAACUACGUG